This 21-nucleotide small nuclear RNA is filed under the name Arabidopsis thaliana (thale cress). Its description in RNAcentral is "snRNA_01979". The record is from RNAcentral. Lineage: Eukaryota; Viridiplantae; Streptophyta; Magnoliopsida; Brassicales; Brassicaceae.
UAACUUCCUGUCUUUGUCACU